AGGGCUGUGCAUAACCUGCCUUGGGCCCGAUCUGUCCGUAAUAUAUCCAAUAUGGUCCACCCGAAUAAAGUCAGUUUCAUCGGGUCAAACUCAAAUACAAGUUUAAACACCACAUUAUCGGUCAAAACCGAUCACCGAAAACACCCCAGCUCUCUAGUCUCUUCUCGUCAAACCCUAUCCAUCGACUCCAUUCCUCCCCUCUGUUAGACAUCGUCAUUUUUAUUCGCCGUUGACCUUCCAUUGCUGCUCCCAUCUGUUGCUGCUCCACCUUGCAUCCAGAUCUGCAGGCUCUCACAGCGUUACUGGAAUCUCCAAGGCUUGCUCUUUCAACAGUGUUACUGGAAUCUCCUUUGUUUCUCUCACCUGCAAAGUUCCUAGAUCUACCAACCUGCCUCAUUAUUCUACCCUUUUUUCUUUACCGUCAAAACAAGGAAAUGAAAAAAGAAACCCCAACAGUAAUGAUCAUAUAAACCAAAGAACCCGUCAACUUGAUAGACUUGCCAACAGAUGGAGUACUUGAUAGACUUGAACGUGUCAAAAGCAGAGUAAAGAACGAGUUCGACCCGACCCAUAAUUUUUGGGUUGGGUCGAUCCGCAUUCACAAUGCUUUUCCUGCAGGUCGGGUCUGAUUGGACCAAAAUCUGGGCAGGCCGGGUUGCUGUGCAGGCCUAGGUAGAUCUUUAUAUUACAAUACAAAGACAUUUAGGGAAUUUCAUUAGGGAAGGUCAUGAGAGAUUCUGAUGUAAAGAAAGAACCUAGUUGUAGCAAUCGAGGUCAACGGUAUUGUUCAUGAGUUUCUGGCAAGUGAUAGUUCUCAUCCUUUAUCCUUGGAGAUCUACUAUAAGUUGGAUGAGGUUGCAGCAAGAUUGAAAUCAAUUGGUUACAUACCAAACAAGUCUUACCUCCUGCAACUUGUUGAAGAAGAAGACAUCAAGGAGCAGGCCCUAAACCUUCACAGUGAGAAGUUAGCAAUUGACUUUGGGCUUAUUACUAUGGUCUCAUCUCAACCAUUCAGGUUGUGAAGAAUCUCUGUAUUUGUGGGGACUGCCACUCAGUUGUUCAGCUCAUAUCUAGGCUUUACAGUAGAGAGAUUUUUAUGAGAGAUCAUUAUCGAUUUCAUUUCACCAUUUUAGAGAAGGGUAUUGCUCAUGUAUGGAUUAUUGGUGAAUAUGGAAAGCAUUUGUUGUGAUCAUUACUUCAUCUAGGGCUGUACAGAAAAUCAAAAAAUCAGCCGAAACUGAUCAGACCGGCCCUUGGAGCAAGGAACCGGCCAAAACCAUCAAGAACCGGUCAACCGGCGAUAGGAUUUAAGUCAAAUUGAUGUCAGGCGGUUCGGUUGGCGGUCCGACCCAGGGAAAAACUGCCGAACCGGCCGACAUCAACUAUAUAUAUUUUUUUCAAGUACAUGGAAAUGUAACGACGUGUCGUUUCACUUAAGUGAAAUGGCGUCAUUUUAAGUGAAGUGAAACGGUGUCAUUUUGAUGACGCAGGAUACCAAAAAAAAAAUACAACGGCCUCACUAAACGACAUUGUUUAGUUUAGGGUUAGCCUUCGAAGAAAAA
Long non-coding RNA from Carya illinoinensis, 1562 nucleotides. RefSeq lists it as uncharacterized. The transcript has 2 exons. NCBI's taxonomy places the organism in Eukaryota, Viridiplantae, Streptophyta, Magnoliopsida, Fagales, Juglandaceae. The record is from RefSeq and is a predicted model, not a curated record.